RNAcentral lists this unclassified non-coding RNA (232 nucleotides) under Pleosporales sp. RNAcentral describes it as "partial contains 5.8S ribosomal RNA, internal transcribed spacer 2, and large subunit ribosomal RNA". Lineage: Eukaryota; Fungi; Ascomycota; Dothideomycetes; Pleosporales. The record is from RNAcentral.
CGCACAUUGCGCCCUAUGGUAUUCCGUAGGGCAUGCUUGUUCGAGCGUCAUAUAACCCCUCAAGCUUUGCUUGGUGUUGGGCGUUGUCAGUUGACUCGCCCCAAAUACAUUGGCCGCCGGCAGAUCGGUGUAGAGCGCAGCACAUUGCACUCCCACAGGUCCUGUUGGCGAUCCAAAAGCCAUACAUACCUCGUUUGACCUCGAAUCAAGUAGGGAUACCCGCUGAACUUAA